Molecule: ribosomal RNA, 470 nt
Filed under: uncultured bacterium
Lineage: Bacteria
Description: bacterial SSU rRNA
Rfam family: Bacterial small subunit ribosomal RNA
Source: RNAcentral
GGCCAGACUCCUACGGGAGGCAGCAGUGGGGAAUCUUCCGCAAUGGGCGAAAGCCUGACGGAGCAACGCCGCGUGAUCGAAUGAAGGCCUUCGGGUUGUAAAGAUCUGUUGACAGGGACGAAUAAGCAAUGCGAAUAGUUUUGUGUAUGACGGUACCUGUUUAGAAAGCUCCGGCUAAAUACGUGCCAGCAGCCGCGGUAAUACGUAUGGAGCAAGCGUUAUCCGGAUUUACUGGGUGUAAAGGGAGCGCAGGCGGCUUUGCAAGUCUGAUGUGAAAGGCCGGGGCUCAACCCCGGGACUGCAUUGGAAACUGUAAAGCUAGAGUGCCGGAGAGGUAAGCGGAAUUCCUAGUGUAGCGGUGAAAUGCGUAGAUAUUAGGAGGAACACCAGUGGCGAAGGCGGCUUACUGGACGGCAACUGACGCUGAGGCUCGAAAGCGUGGGGAGCAAACAGGAUUAGAUACCCGCGUA